AGUUUUGCUGGCUUUGCAGUCAGU
RNAcentral lists this microRNA (24 nucleotides) under Callorhinchus milii (elephant shark). RNAcentral's name for it is "Cmi-Mir-19-P2b_5p* (star (passenger))". RNAcentral also lists the same sequence under 1 other name. The record is from RNAcentral. Lineage: Eukaryota; Metazoa; Chordata; Chondrichthyes; Chimaeriformes; Callorhinchidae.